UUUGGGCAAGAAGACCCUAUGAAUUUUUAUUGUUAAUAAUUAAAAUUUAAGUUAUUAAUAAUUUAAUUGGGGCGAUAAAAAAAGAAUAAGUAUCUUUUUAGUUACAAAAUAAGUUCCGUUUUUAGCGAUUAAAUGAAAUAAAUACUCUAGGGAUAACAGCGUAAUAAUUUUGGAUAGUUCAUAUAGAUAAAAUAGUUUGCGACCUCGAUGUUGGAUUAGGAUUCUUUUUUGGUGAAGAAGUUAAAGAAAGAAGUUUGUUCAACUUUUAAAUUCCUACUUGAUCUGAGUUCAGACCGGA
RNAcentral lists this ribosomal RNA (298 nucleotides) under Ixodes scapularis (black-legged tick). RNAcentral describes it as "partial 16S ribosomal RNA". It matches the Rfam family "Bacterial large subunit ribosomal RNA", at positions 2078 to 2620 of the family's 2925-position model. Lineage: Eukaryota; Metazoa; Arthropoda; Arachnida; Ixodida; Ixodidae. The record is from RNAcentral.